UCAGUCGACUCCUACGGGGAGGCAGCAGUGGGGGGAAUAGUUGCACAAUGGGCGCAAGCCUGAUGCAGCCAUGCCGCGUGUAUGAAGAAGGACCUUCGGGUUGUAAAGUACGUUUCAGCAGUGAGGAAGGUGGGGUAUGGUUAAUAGCAUAUUCAUUUGACGUUAGCUGCAGAAGAAAGCACCGGCUAACUCCGUGCCAGCAGCCGCGGUAAUACGGAGGGUGCGAGCGUUAAUCGGAAUUACUGGGCGUAAAGCGCAUGCAGGUGGUUUGUUAAGUCAGAUGUGAAAGCCCGGGGCUCAACCUCGGAAUUGCAUUUGUAAACUGGCAAACUAGAGUACUGUAGAGGGGGGUAGGAAUUUCAGGUGUAGCGGUGAAAUGCGUAGAGAUCUGAAGGAAUACCGGUGGCGAAGGCGGCCCCCUCGGACAGAUACUGACACUCAGAUGCGAAAGCGUGGGGAGCAAACAGGAUUAGAUACCCUGGUAG
This 485-nucleotide ribosomal RNA is filed under the name uncultured bacterium. RNAcentral's name for it is "bacterial SSU rRNA". It matches the Rfam family "Bacterial small subunit ribosomal RNA", at positions 328 to 793 of the family's 1533-position model. The record is from RNAcentral.